This is a non-coding RNA of Coturnix japonica (Japanese quail), 734 nucleotides long. The record is from RefSeq and is a predicted model, not a curated record. NCBI's taxonomy places the organism in Eukaryota, Metazoa, Chordata, Aves, Galliformes, Phasianidae.
UGUUGGUGGUGGGGUUUCUUUCUCUCCUCCUUCUCUCAUUUAUUUUUUCAGCCCCAGAGCAGCACCUUGCAAGGCCAUUAAUCCCUGCAGCAUGUGCACACAGGGAUCAACCAGAAGGACAUCCUUCACUCAUUACCAGCCCAGUCUUUAAUCUCUGUGCAAGCACCUGCUGUUGGAUAUGAGUGGGGACACAUAUGAGCAUCAAAGCAAAGGAUUCAAAGACUCACUGAUGCUCCUGGGAAGGAGCAAAUCCAGCAAGCAGCAUUUACCCACCCUGCUCCCAAGGGCAGGGACCUGCACAGCAGGAACAGCUCUUUCCUCGCAUUUGUGACAUCGAACUCCUCUCAUCUUAGCUUGAUGUUGAGAUAUUCUGAAGAAUCUCUGAAGCUGGAAGAUGGCAGGAAUCACUUGAAGGCUUCAGGAGGCUUCAAAGACCAGUGGAAAUAUGGGAAUGACUGGGGGGGGUCUGGAGAUGAGAGAAACUGAAGCAGGAUCCAGGACAUGUGUGACUGAUGCAAUGCUGACACUGCACAUCACAUCUUGUGGUCCAAAAGGUACCUCCCAGCUCCCACCUGUGUCUGAAAACCUCUGCCUCCAGUCAGAAAGCAUGGAAGCUCAGUUCUGCUGGGCUGACAGCAAGCUUUUCACUGCAAUUUUUACAGCAUCCAGCUUGAAGGUAUUUCAGUAUUUCCAUUAAUCCCAAUAAAGCUAGAGAAAAAAAACAACUAUUAAUU